CGAAUAAAUCAACCGUUUGGACUCAUCAGUCCAUUACGGGAAGCAUAGUUAAAUAUCUUGAUUUUUCAAUAACUUGGAAUUUCAUAUGGGUUAUCUUAAAACGGCAUCUUCUCACGGUGGAUUUGACAAGUAGCCCGGUGCUCAAGAAGACAAGAGAGUUGAUUUUGUAUAGCUCGCUAGGUCCCCUUAUGCUAAUGUCAGCUAGUUAGCAAAGCUACAUUUGUUUAACACUUCUACUUGGUAUGAAGCUACAGGCUAUCCUUGGGACAAAUGUUCUUAAUGCAUUCGGGUUAAGGUAACGUUAGUGUAGACUACAAGACGAACAAGCUGAUUGUGAGGCUGAUUUACUUGGACAAAGGGUCUGGUGUUCGUAGUGCUGGAACUGCUAUAGCUAUAUAUUUACCAUGGCGAGUACACUUUAAAGGGAUAGCAGCUAUCAUGACACGGUCUCGCAUUCCAUACAUCUAGCUAGCUGUUAGCGCGCUACCUAAUUAGCUUAGCUAACCACAGUAGAUAGCUACUUCCUUGUUCAUUCAGCUAGCUAGUUGAGGCCGGGUACGUCCAUUACAACCAGCAGCCUAGUUUGUGACGAAAAUAUUGAACCCUUGCUCGGCUUGUGGUGUCAGAGUGCCUGCUGGUGUUAUCUGUUCUGGCAUAAGACAGAAUGUCAGAAGGAGACAGCGUCGGUGAAUCGAUCCAUGGGAAACCGUCAACGGUUGGACGCUUUUUCACGAGACUUGGCCAGGUCUAUCAGUCAUGGUUGGAUAAGUCAACGCCAUUCGCUGUUGUGCGGUGGGGCGCCACACUCUUACUAACUGCCAUCUACAUGAUCAGAGUGUAUAUUCUACAGGGAUGGUACAUAGUCACAUAUGCUCUGGGCAUCUAUCACCUCAACCUGUUCAUUGCUUUCCUGUCGCCAAAAGUGGACCCGUCUCUGCUUGAUGACGGAGACGAGGGUCCGGCGUUGCCCACCAAGCAGAAUGAGGAGUUCCGGCCUUUUAUUAGGAGACUACCUGAAUUCAAGUUCUGGCAUUCUGCAACAAAAGGCAUCGUCAUUGCAAUGAUUUGCACGUUCUUUGAAGCCUUCAACGUGCCAGUGUUCUGGCCUAUACUGGUUAUGUACUUCAUCAUGCUCUUUUGUAUCACCAUGAAGAGGCAGAUCAAGCAUAUGGUCAAGUACAGAUACCUGCCCUUCACUCACGGAAAGAGAACAUACAGAGGCAAGGAAGACACAGGGAAACCAUUUGCUAGUUAAAAUCACCCAACAUCCCAGGUCCCCCACCUGUAAUUAAACUAAUUGAUGAGGAAUGAGGAAACAUGAACAUUGAGUGGUUUAUUAUUACAAAUGGACGGAGUGGGUUGAAACCUUUUUUUUUUUUUUUUUUUUUUUUUUUUUUUUUUUUGGAAGGGGGGGGGAUGUUGGUAUGGGACUUGUGAGCUGAGGAUCGCAUUCUAACAGCUAAUGUAGAUUUUUUUUAAAAAACCACAGUUUUCCUGGAGGAGAGAAAAAAAAUAAUCAACACUGUAGUUAAGGAUCAAAGCAUUUUUCCUCUGCUAGUACAUCAUGUUUUUAAGGGUUGUUUUCAGGAUUUAUACAUACAUAUAUUUUAAAGAUUUUUUUUUCUUAAGACAUGCUGUUUUCCAAGUGUUAAAUCAACUGUGUCAUAUUAAACCAAUCAAAACAAAAUGAAAAAAAAAAAAACAUUGGAUACAGGAUUUGUAAAUUGUUUCUCAUGGAAGAAAUUGCAUGUGUUUGGUUUUCUUGUGCCGUUGACCAGAACCAGAAAAAAAAAAAGAUUUUAAUAACUCUAAAAUGUAAUUUUUAUCACUCCAAAUGCUAUUAAAACAAUGGUGUCUCCUCA
RNA transcript from Alosa alosa (allis shad), 1862 nucleotides. It is a transcript of the gene named retention in endoplasmic reticulum sorting receptor 1, with no coding region annotated. The record is from RefSeq and is a predicted model, not a curated record. The transcript is spliced from 8 exons. Lineage: Eukaryota; Metazoa; Chordata; Actinopteri; Clupeiformes; Clupeidae.